Molecule: non-coding RNA, 148 nt
Filed under: Pan paniscus (pygmy chimpanzee)
Lineage: Eukaryota; Metazoa; Chordata; Mammalia; Primates; Hominidae
Also listed under: 1 other name
Source: Rfam by way of RNAcentral
GCUGGGCAUGGUGGCGGGUGCCUGUAAUCCCAGCUACUCAGGAGGCUGAGGCGGGAGAAUUACUUGAACCCGGGAGGCAGAGGUUGCAGUGAGCCGAGAUCAUGCCACUGCACUCCAGCCUGGGUGACAGAGUGAGACUCCGCCUAAA